RNAcentral lists this ribosomal RNA (253 nucleotides) under uncultured bacterium. RNAcentral's name for it is "partial 16S ribosomal RNA". It matches the Rfam family "Bacterial small subunit ribosomal RNA", at positions 524 to 776 of the family's 1533-position model. The record is from RNAcentral.
UACAGAGGGUGCAAGCGUUGUUCGGACUUAUUGGUCGUAAAGCGCGUGUAGGCGGCUUAGCAAGUCGGGCGUGAAAGCCCUCGGCUCAACCGAGGAAGUGCACCCGAAACUGCUGAGCUUGAGUGCCGGAGAGGAUGGCGGAAUACCCCAAGUAGAGGUGAAAUUCGUAGAUAUGGGGAGGAACACCGGUGGCGAAGGCGGCCACCUGGACGGUAACUGACGCUGAGACGCGAAAGCGUGGGUAGCAAACAGG